RNAcentral lists this ribosomal RNA (405 nucleotides) under uncultured prokaryote. Its description in RNAcentral is "bacterial SSU rRNA". It matches the Rfam family "Bacterial small subunit ribosomal RNA", at positions 355 to 774 of the family's 1533-position model. The record is from RNAcentral.
UGGGGAAUAUUGGGCAAUGGGCGAAAGCCUGACCCAGCAACGCCGCGUGAGGGAAGAAGGUCUUCGGAUUGUAAACCUCUGUCCUUGGGGACGAAAAAAAUGACGGUACCCAAGGAGGAAGCCCCGGCUAACUACGUGCCAGCAGCCGCGGUAAUACGGAGGGGGCGAGCGUUGUCCGGAAUUACUGGGCGUAAAGGGUGCGUAGGCGGUUUUUUAAGUCAGAUGUGAAAUCCCCGGGCUUAACUCGGGUGGUGCAUUUGAAACUGGGAGGCUAGAGUGCAGGAGAGGGAAGCGGAAUUCCUAGUGUAGCGGUGAAAUGCGUAGAGAUUAGGAAGAACACCAGUGGCGAAGGCGCUUCUCUGGACUGUAACUGACGCUGAGGCUCGAAAGCGUGGGGAGCAAACA